AUAUUUUCUAUGUAUUUGGUUCGUCUUUUCCAGAAAAGUCCCUACCUCCUCUUCCAAUUGGCUAAAUUACUGAAGUCUCACUCAAGAAAACAAACUUCCUGUGGAAAAUGUCACCAUAUCUCAAGGCAAUUGAAAACCCACAUUCAUUUCUGGAAUUAAGUCCUAGAAUUUUAAGAAACCAUUAUUUCAAAUAGAGUCACGACUGACAACCCAACUUCAAAAUUAACUUAUUUUCAAUUUUGACUCUGUAGGGUGUUCCGUUUAUUGUCAAAACCAAAUACAUGGGCUGAGGAUGUAGUUCAGUGGUAGAGCACUGGUCUAGCAUGUGUGAAGCUCUAGGUUCAAUCCCUAGUACCAGGAAAAAACCUGCACUUACUUCUGUAAUCUUAUAAAAACAAAGGCCAUCUGUGUCUCAAAUAUUCAAGAUUAUGGAUGCUUAGGUUUUUUUAUUUUUGUACUGGGGGUUGAACACAGGGCCUCACACAUGCUUGGCUGUACCACUGAGCUAUAUCCCAAGCCCAUAUAUGUUCGGUUUUAAGGGACAGCUUAGGCAGAGAAUGUUAUAGAUGCUAACCAACCACUCUCAUGUUAUGGCUCUUCCAAAUAUUUGAAUAUCUGUACCCUAGGCCUGCCAUAAUAAAGUAUCUCACAC
Molecule: long non-coding RNA, 652 nt
Filed under: Fukomys damarensis (Damara mole-rat)
Lineage: Eukaryota; Metazoa; Chordata; Mammalia; Rodentia; Bathyergidae
Description: lncRNA (ENSFDAG00000024329.1)
Source: RNAcentral